GAUGAACGCUAGCGGCAGGCUUAAUACAUGCAAGUCGAGGGGCAGCAGUCCCGCAGCAAUGCGGGAGCUGGCGACCGGCAAACGGGUGCGGAACACGUACAGAACCUUCCUUCGAGCGGGGAAUAGCCCAGAGAAAUUUGGAUUAAUACCCCAUAGCAUUACGAAGUGGCAUCACUUUGUAAUUAAAGAUUUAUCACUCGAAGAUGGCUGUGCGGCUGAUUAGGUAGUUGGCGGAGUAACGGCCCACCAAGCCUUCGAUCAGUAACUGGUGUGAGAGCACGACCAGUCACACGGGCACUGAGACACGGGCCCGACUCCUACGGGAGGCAGCAGUAAGGAAUAUUGGUCAAUGGACGAAAGUCUGAACCAGCCAUGCCGCGUGGAGGAUGAAGGUCCUCUGGAUU
Molecule: ribosomal RNA, 404 nt
Filed under: uncultured bacterium
Lineage: Bacteria
Description: bacterial SSU rRNA
Rfam family: Bacterial small subunit ribosomal RNA
Source: RNAcentral